GGACAAGGAAUGCUGCUAUUUAAGGUAGGAAAUCAGAAUUUGGGUUAGUAAAUUUGGGGAGGAGAAAAUUGACUGUUUAAAGGCAAAAUUAUGAAGGAGUCUGACACACUGUAAAAGCACCAUAUGCAAAUUCACACACACAAACAGGAAAUGCAUUAAACUUAUAAAGACAAGACAAGCUCAUGGAGUUUAAUGCAUAGACACUGAUUAAACCUGGCUAAGAACACAAACAUAGGCAAUGAAGAACAGCUUGCUAUUUUGUAUGAAUGAUACAAGGGUGUGAAUGUUUAAUAAAAUACAUUUGAGUUUGUAAUUGAGGAAUAGAAUAAGCCAUAUGACAAAGGGAGUUAUGAAAACGAAAAAGGGAUUAAAGUAGUUUUAAAAAAGAGUGACUUAGGAGUGCUCUCGUACUGAGUGAUCAACACUAGUGAUCACUGUUGGAAGAAAUAAAAUGAUUUAAUGAGUUGGGAAUGUUUAAACAUAUGUUUCUGUUGUUACAGCUUCUUGAGAGAUGACUCAGUAUGCAAAUUAGCUGGAGUGUGUGUGUGACUGUGACUUUCAGGAAGAGGAAGCAUAGCAGAGACGAGAAGUGCAGAUUGGGGUAGGGAAUUUAUAGUUUAGUGAUUAUAUGAUGUCGUAAGGGGUCUUAUGCUGAAUUUAAGAGUAUAAGGGGGUGAUUUUUGUGUGCAAAUUGAGUGGUUUUAAUGAGACUUUUGGUGUAUUGAGGAGGUGAAAUUAUGUGGUGGCAAGAUUUGUGUGUUUAAGGUUGUUGUGGUGAUGGGUUGAUUCUGUCAGGUAGGUUGUUGUUGGUGUUUUUGUUUUAAAUAGAGGGAGUUUUAGGAAACAUGGACAUGUCUAAAAUUGGGCCCAUUAUUUUGUAACAGUGCACUUAAAGAAAACCUGUCAGGUGAUUUUGUUUUGUUUUUAUGAGCUAACAAUCAGCUCUAUUUUUCAUUUCUGUUUUAAGCAGGCCUGCAACAGUGAAUAACAGCGCUGAAAAUUCUCGGGAGGAGCAAAUAUAAGGGGGCUUUCCAGAUUACAAUUGGCUGAGGAGAGCUACCUGGGGACAAUUCAGGUCGUAAGUCCCUGUAAAAGGAUUUUAUGCGAGUCAAUCCAGUCCAAAAGCAUAAAGAAAUAUUUUCCUAUGGAAAAUAAAAAAUGACGGAGCUCAUUUUGCUGAGGGUGGAGUAUCUGAUCUUGCGGGAGGCUCCACUAUCAGCAAAUACAUGGUGUGACUGCAUGUGAGUGAAUGUGUGACUGGAUGAAGGUGAGGAUGAAUAAAUGUGGAUAAACAAUUUGUUUUUACCAGAGAAAAUUUCUGUUUUGUUUUAUUAGGUGGGGUUAGAUUAUGAGAUUAUAGUAUAUUGUUGGGAGAAUGCCAAAUGCUAAAGGGGAAAUAUUUUUUGAUGUAACUCAGUUACCAUUAAUUGUAGAAACACAUGACUGAUAACUGUUCUGUUUUAAGUUUAUUUUUAUGACACAGAUUGGAUCAUGAGUGGGGAAAACUGAGCAGUUUUAAGUUUUGUAUAGUAUCUUGACACAUGAAAUGUAUCAAGAUAAAGGGGGGUUUAGGGUUUAAUAAUUUAAUUGUUUAAUAAUUUAGGAUCAUUUUAGGACCUUUUGGGUUUUUGAUCAUUUGGAUAUGGUAAAACUGAAACUGUUAUUUUUAAGUUAAGGUUAAAGGAUUAAAAGUGAACUUGUCACGGUUUGCGAGGCAAGCCGUGUGGAGUUGUAGAAAAGGACCCAAAAGGCGGCAGCUCUGGUGCAGGUGAAUAUUUAUUUACAACGGUGGGCACAAAACAGCACUGGUGGAAAAACAAGAAACCGGAAAACUGGGUAAGCUAAUAACACAAACCAGAAACGAGGAUGCAGGGAGACCGAGGGGAAACAACACAGACAAACCAGCAACUAGAAUAACAGAAGACACAACUUAAAUACACCCAGAGCACGGGGAGAACACAGACAUAACAGGCUGGGGGAAACAUGGAAUAAACACAAAGAGAGACGAGAGCUCAUAAAUACACAGAGGGGCACAAGGGGGUAAGAGUCACAAAGGGAAAAACACUUAGGGAACACCACAACAGGACACCUCAGAAAACCUGGCCUAAAUAAGGAGUGAAAAUACAAGGAACCAAGAAUACUGGGCCAACAUGGCCCAGGACCAAGACAGAACUGAAUCCUGUUUAGAAGAUACAAUGCCGGUUUUUCAAAGCUGUGAAUAAAUCUUAGAGGGAAAAUUAGUGAGGGUUGAAGGGGUAGAACAGCUUUGAUUUUUGAUCUUUAGAAGAAGUGGUUAUAAUGUAGGCUUACACAUACAGAUAUUACAUAGGAGGUAUUUUUAGGAUAAAGGGGGAGCUUAUAAAUAGAAAUGAUUUUUAUACAUAUUGCAUUUUGUGCUUUUAAAGGAGUUGUGGCUCAAAUUUGUCUCUGGAGGGUCACGAGCCUUUGGCUAGCGCUAUGAUUAGCCAAUCUACUGUGAGGAUAAUAUGAGUUCAUGAAGGAUUGCACACGCUUACAGACACAGAGUUAAGAAACACACAUGACAGUAUUGAUUCCAGGCAAAAGGCCUUAAAUUCAUUUAGCUUUUAACUGAACUUAAAGAAGGACCAAAAGAGGAAGGAAAGCAUAUAUUUUGGUUAAGUCUGAUACAUUAGAAUUAGAAGGUAUUGUUACAUUAAAGGGAGCAAAAUGAAAUAAAAAGGCUAUACCAAAACAGGUGAUAACAUAGGAAAUGUGAGGUUUUAAAAUGAAGUUAGUGUUAACACAUAGGAGUUGUUUCAAGGCAGCAUUUAGCUAUGAUGAAAUGUAUACAGGAGUAAUUGCUUAUAUGCUUAAACUUAAUUGAUUAAAGUGGUUGUUUUCUUUUGGAGUAGAUUAACUUGCAGCAGCGACAACUUGUGCACAGGAUGUUGAUGAUCAGAUGAGGGAAAAUAGAGCGAGCAACCGGACGUGAAACCAGCGCUUAAAGAAUUUUAAAGUGAUGAGGAACGUUGAAGAAUGUACAUAAAUACAAGUCAAUAAGUUAAGAAGAUAAUUAGGAUUAGGCUUUUGAUUAAAGAGUCCCAGAUAGGAUAAGUUAGGGAGAUGCAGGAAAGGUGUUUUGUUUCCUUUGCAGAAGAUCUCGGCGACCACAGGAGGGGCGAGGAUCCUGGAGAUCUCGAGGUUCGAGACCACCAGAGAAGGGUCUGCGUGAGGACACAAUGUAUUGUGACCUCUGGUGUUCCAGAGGUCAAAAGGGGGAGUGUCGAGGAGGGAAAUUAUUUUACUGCUAUUGUUAAAUAAUUGUCAUUGCAUUAAUAAUAUAAUCUGCAGCAUGGAUAUUGCAUUCCAAGGUUUAAACAGUGUCUCUUUCAGAAAGACUGAGUUGCAGGCUGACAGGAAGUUGUAUGCAGAAAGAAGCAGGAAGUUAUUUUGAG
Long non-coding RNA from Astatotilapia calliptera (eastern happy), 3416 nucleotides. Lineage: Eukaryota; Metazoa; Chordata; Actinopteri; Cichliformes; Cichlidae. The record is from Ensembl.